UAAACGCACUGACGUUUCGGCAUCAAUUGAUUUCUCUUCAAAUUUAUUCUCUUUUAUAUAUAAGAAUUAUAUUUAUUGGAUUCAGACAGUUUUCGUGCUUUAUUAUGGGUAGAAAACAUACUAAUAAAGCACACAAACAUUUCACAUAUAACGAUGUAGAAGAUAGUUCACAGUGUGUCAUCUGUAAAUCUUCAUUGAAGGGUAAUUAUGGGACAAACUUAAAAAAACAUUUAAUUCGUUACCAUGAUUUUAAAGAAGAAUAUUUCACUGAUAUUUCUUUGAAUAAAAAAGAAACGGGAAAGCAUCGAAAAGAAAUACAGCCACAAAUAGAUGAAGUAAAUUCUAUAAAAGUAAAAAUGACAAAAAAAGAUCUCGAAAACAAUUGCAUUGAAUUAGUAACAGUUAAUGGAAGACCAUUUAGUAUUUUAAAUGACUCUGGUUUUCAAAAUAUUAUAAAUCCAAUCAAAUCGGCAAUAGAAGAUAAAUAUAAACAGAAAAUUUCUAUUUCGUCAGAAUCAAUACAAAGAAAAGUUAAUG
Nylanderia fulva is the source of this 537-nucleotide non-coding RNA. The record is from RefSeq and is a predicted model, not a curated record. Lineage: Eukaryota; Metazoa; Arthropoda; Insecta; Hymenoptera; Formicidae.